UACGUAGGUGGCAAGCGUUGUCCGGAUUUAUUGGGUUUAAAGGGUGCGUAGGCGGUCUAUUAAGUCAGCGGUGAAAUACUCCAGCUUAACUGGAGGGGUGCCAUUGAUACUGAUGGACUUGAGUCAAGUCGAGGUGGGCGGAAUUGACGGUGUAGCGGUGAAAUGCUUAGAUAUCGUCAAGAACACCAAUAGUGAAGACAGCUUACUGGGCUUAAACUGACGCUGAGGCACGAAAGUGUGGGGAUCAAACAGG
This 253-nucleotide ribosomal RNA is filed under the name uncultured bacterium. Its description in RNAcentral is "partial 16S ribosomal RNA". It matches the Rfam family "Bacterial small subunit ribosomal RNA", at positions 524 to 776 of the family's 1533-position model. The record is from RNAcentral.